GGCAACAAAAAUUAAAAACAAGUAAAGUCUUUCUUUAGGUGUAUAAGGAGUAAAAAGAAGGUGCCAUGGUAGCAUAGGAACCCUACAGGACAAACUAGGGUAAAUAGUGAUAGGUGGGGUGAGCGGGGCAAGGUUGAGCUCUUCAGUGAGUUUUUUGCUUCUGUAUUCCUGAACAUGGAACAGGACAGGUCUCCCAGUUGGAUGCUAGACAGGCAUAAAAGGGACACCAGCCCACCAAGUGUUUGUGCCAACUUGGUGAAGAGGCACUUGGAAAGACUGGGUGUGUUUAAGUCAGCAGACCCACGUGAUCUUCAUCCAAGGGUGCCAAAGGAUUUGGCAGCAUUAUAGGAGAGCCCCGACACAGCUGUUUGAGCACUCGUGGCACUCGGGUCAGGUCCCAGAGGGCUGGAAAAGGGCCAGUGCGGUCCCUACCUUUAAGAAAGGAAAGGAGGAUCCGGGUAACUAGACACCAGUUAGUCUCACUUCUGUUCUGAGGAAAACCUUUGAAAAGAUUAAGGAUCACAUUUGUGGGAGUCCUGGAAGGUGGGGGGAUGCUGAAGGGCAGUGAGCACAUAUUCAUAGCAGGUAGAUCCUGCCUGACUAACCUUGUUUCUUUUUAUGACCAGGUCACAAAAUGCUUACACACAGGAAUUGAGGUAGAUGUCAUCUACUUGCAUUUUAAGAAGGCCUUCAAUAUGGUAUCUCAUUCUAAUGUCAUUAAUAAACUGAGCCGCUGUCACGUAGAUGAUUACACGAUCAGGUGCAGGACAAACAGGUCCAGGGAGGUGAUGCUUACCCUCUACGCGACAUUGGUCGAGCUGCAGUUGGAGUACUCUGUCCGGUUUUGGACGCCACACUUCAAGAGGGAUGUGGACAACCUUGUGAGGGUUCAGAGGAGGGCAAAAGCUAGUCCUUGCGCUCCUGUCCUUGGAACCAGCUUAUCGGCGAGGAAGCGCAGCGUGACGUUCGGAACCAAAAGGCCCGGAGUAGAAGGGCCCCCGACAUCCGUCGCAUCUGCAACGGGUCCCUGCGUGAGCUACUGAGAAACGAGCGUUUGGGGCCCGCACCGGUCUCUCGGAAACAUCCGAGCCAGCCCUGGCAGCAGGUGCCUGCGCGUUCCUGCCUCGUACGCGGUCAGGGAACGCUACGCACCAGCAGUUGCCUCGGCUUCUGACCGGACGCACGGCGUUUGCUCGCAAGCAUCCAAAGCUAGCACCUCCAGCGGCUGCAGCUGUUGCUUCCCAACUACUAGGAGAGCCUUGCAAAAGCAAUGGCCUGCCCCUGGGCCAGGCUGAUACCAGUGGCUCAGACCCAGAGACUUGCUGUUGUACCUCCCGGUGUCUGGAUUAGGUGUCGAGCACUUGGAACUCUGGCAGCUUCAGCACAUAUUAACCUCUCGUCCUCCUGUGGCCAACACCACGGAGCCCGUGACCCUAAUGUUUCUGUCAGCCUCUGUCCCACCCUUCCCCUGAAGGCCUCCCGUGAAAUCCCUUGUCCCAUCACAGUCUGCAGGUUGGCUCCAGCGGUAUUUCCCAGCUGCACGUGGAGAGUUGCAAGGGAGUGUCAGUGAGGAGCUGCAGCGUGAAAGAAGUGGGACUUGGAAAUAUCCAAGGGACCACGGGUAACAGUUUGACGGGCGUCACGUAGACUCGUUUUGCUGAAACUUUGGGAACGGGACCGAACCCAUUUUCCUGUGCGCUUGGACCUGCAGAUGGCUGGGGCCCGUGUCCCUGGGGAAACUCCGAGUCUGGAAGGGAGGAACACUGCUCAUCUCUCUCCCUGCCUGCCUGGGAACGCUCCUUGCCUUGUGUUUGUUAGACUCUGCCAUUUAGACCUAUUUUAACUUGUAACAGGGUCACAAAACCAAAUGCCAGUUGCUGCUCGUAGCUGCCGUUUCCCAUCGUUCCAGAAAGCAGCUACUCGCUCUUGGUCUUGUCUGGUAUUAAAGUCUUGAGAAACAGAAUUUUAUUCCACUUUUUUUGGCCGUUCCUUGGGAUGUAAGUGUAGGCUCACGGCCUAUUCCUUGUAUGCCAGCUUAAGCACGUGUCGUUCUUAAGUUAGGCUUCUGGUAGGUGUGUAGUCUGCAAUACUGAGCGUGGUCUGUCAGGCCCUGACCAUGUUUUCAGUUUACACCGAGGGGAAUCUGCCCAUAGCCUUCCUUCCCCUUUCUCAUCACCAUCUUCGUAACAUCCCUGCCUCUUUACUUGUCGCUCAUUUCAGGAGCUGUUGUGUGCCAGUGCUUCUGUUCCCUGGUGCUUUCCCCGGGUACCCACCCUGUCUCCUGUACGUGGUGGAGGACCGGUUUAAGGAGUUGCACGGAGGGCCUCACAGAAGUCCUGUGUGGUCAUGGGUUUACAAUGAAGACUUGCAGCUGUGUGUUACUAUUUCUGGGGUGUGCCGUGUGUGAGGUGCAGCUGUCAGAGGAACGCUUUGGAGAUGUCGCUCACACAGGGAAGCAAAAUUGUUCUGCUCCCCACUACUGAGCUUUACAGGGUGAUACCUGUGAGACAUCACAUCCCCUGUCCAAACCUGAGCCAUCUGAGCAGGGGAAGUGGCGUGGGAGCGGGGGCCAAGAUACCUGGUUGACAGCCCAGACUGCAAGUUGAAGGCUGCAAUGGAAGCGCUCAGAGUGUGGCCUGUCAGAUUCCAACAAAAUCUGUCAAGUCUCACAUGUAGCUUAUCACAAGGAAACGAAAAAGAAAAGGACAUGAGCAGGGGCCCAUGUUAGAGUCUUAGUGCAUUGGUCAGCGAUUGGGGGUGAGGGGGUGCAUGUCCCUCCUUCACUGCUUGUGUGUUGACUGUCAUUGUUAAAGGACCAGGGUUGGGGGCGGGGGCAUUCUUGGCUGCUUGGCCAAGUGCCUGGGGGAAGAGCUAGGAGGGAGGGGGAGGUUCAGCAACCCCGGACUGGCCAGGUCUCCCCCUGCCUCCCACAGGACUGCGCUACCUGCUACUGGCAGUGACUCUGCCUGGAGCAGUUGGCAGGCCCUUGUAAGCAGCCUGCACUGCUUGGGAGAUGUGGGCUGUGACACCUUGGUUUUCUGGACUGUGGUAAGAAAGCAAACAGCCUUGUAGUACAGGCUUCAGUUGUGGGACUGCACCCUGUUGUUGAGACCCCCCCCAGGGGCUUAUUUCUUGUAUGUCCAUGCAGGAUAGUUGGAGGGGUGGGGAAUGGAAGGAAGAGGCAUGGAUGAGACCUGCAUCUUCUGUUCAGCAAAUUUCUGUAAGUAAUGUUAGUACUACUAAUAUUAUCCCUGUUCUGAUUCUUACUAUUACUAUUAUUUGUUUUCCCAUAUACUUUGCCAACAAAGCACCUGGCAGGUCCAGUAAGAAAAGGAAGUUUCCAAACAGGUGACAGAAGGAAACCAAAUGAUUUAAGUAUGCAAGUGGUGGUGGUGGUGUUGGGAAGGUUCAGGAACCAUGGGGGAGGCAAGAUUUUUUGUUAUGUCUCGUGUGGCAACAACAGCACGGUUUGGACGGACAGAAGCAAGGUUUUCGGCAUCCCAGUCCCCUUUUUCAGUCCUGGUUCCUUCCCAGCAUCCUGAAGAAAGGUACUGUCAUACCCCAAAGGUUGCCUGUAUCUUACAGUUGGUCUGGUAAAACAGGGGUCAAAAAACCUAUGGCCUGUGGUUUGGAUCCAGCCUGUGAAGAAACUGGUUCUAGCCUGUAGCAGUUCAACCAAGGAGCAGCACACUCCCACGGUGACAGCAGCAGGGACAUCCCCAGCGGCCUGUUGCCACUGCGUUCAGUUUGUUCUUUGUGCUGCAGCAGAAGCAGCCUCCCCAGGGUCCCGGCCCCUACCUCUUUCUUUUGAGUCCCUUCACAGCCUGUGGAGAUUGCCGGGGAGCAAGCUGGCACGUUGGCAACGGUGCACAACGGCAAAAGAACGGCCCUUCCCUGCAAGGAAAGAUUGCACCUAACUCCGAGCGAGCAGAGCAGAGCAGAGCAUGGACACAAAGCGAGAUGCUCAUCAGUAGGGUAGUCUGGCCUUGCCGUUGCUAGGAGUGCCCAAGUAGGGAGGUGUUGGAAUAAUUUCUCAGCUUUUUCCCUAGAUCGCUCUAAGAGGAGAGGGGAGCGCUAAGCACACUUGGGUUCGUGCACGCUCCUCAUCAUUUUCACAAGCGGACGGCAGGAGAAAGUUUGCGGUCAGCGAUAGCAGCACAAGGCUGCGCAACCAGGCUGGGGAACGUGGGGCUCUUUCCUAAACCAGGAGUGGCAGGACUUGCACAGCUUUGCCAGGAUCCUGGCUGUUGUGGAGAGACUUUGGGUUGGAGAUGGAUGCAAAGAAGUGGAGGCGUGCCAUGGUGAUGGAGGAUAGAGCAGGAGGAGUAGUGUGAUGGAAGGUGGACUUACCUCAAGCGGGGGUGGUGUUUUGAGUGGGGGUGUCUGGGUGGGCUGGGAAGUCCCUGCUCUGGGUUGGUGUCCUGAGCUGCAUGCUCCCAGGGCAGGGCUACUCAAGCGGAGGGCCAUGGCACCCAGGAGUGCCUCUGAGAUGAGUGGUGUACGGCUGGGCUGGCUUGGCCCAGAGUUGCUCUGAGUCUGUGCAAAGAUCUCCAGGUUGCGGUGGGACAGAGGAUUGGGUCUCUGCCUGGCUGUACCUGUUGCCACAUGCCUCCUUUCAGUGCUGGGAAUUGCAUUUAUGUCUCAUCUCUCUGGGUGUGUCACUGGUGUCUGUCUUUGUACUUCUGUUCUUAAAAAUCACUGCAGCACUUGUUACUUUGUUCUUCCCAGGACUGAAAGGAGGGUUGUGUUUGCAUGUAAAUUGAUCCCCUCACUUGGGAGGGGUGUAGCUGCAGCCCCCUGCGGUUUGUUAGUGGGGCCAGUCCAAGCUGCUGUUGUACCCCGGUUGGGAGGGAGGGGAUGCUGUCCCGUUGGUGCUGUGAGACCUGCGCAUAGCGCUGCAAGUGUUAAUUGCUGUUGUUCAUUUUUGGCGGUGUGGACAUGUUUGGCAAGAUGACCAAAGUCUGGUCCUGAGUGGAGAAGAGCUGAGGAAGAGGUGAAGAGCCCUGGAGCUGGUAUGGCGUGGAAGGAGUUGGAGACGGCCUGAAGCCAUGCUCACGUGAUCACCUGGAGCGAGCAGGUGCCUGCAUCGUAUCUGGGAAAGGGAUAGCAAGCAUGAGGACUGAUGGCGCACAAGGACUGAAGGCGCAGCGUGAUGCCAGGUGUGGAGCCAUCUUCUGAAGGCUUGAGGGCUGUGGAGCAGACUCUGUGAAGAUGAAGUGAAGAGUCCCAGAGAUGGUGCAGGAGGAAAUGGGCAGCCCUGUUGUGACUUCCUGAUUUGCGUGGUGUGAGGCCUCUUCCCCUGUGGCAUCACCUGGCUGGAGUCUGGGGAGGUUUUGUGUGUAGCUUUGCAGGCGGUGCGUCUCCGCUCCCACUUCUUGCUGUGAGGAUGCCUGGAUAAGCAGCAGCAUGAUUGUGGCUGGGUGGCCUCAAUGUUGUGGGGGAGAGGAACAGAAGCGAGGCUUCUGCGGUGGUGGUAGAAGAUGGAGGAACUGGAUCCCGAAAGCGUGAGUGGAGAAGAGCUGAGGCGAAGAGACCUAGAGCCAGCGCUAGGUAGAAGCGGGUGGAGGAAGCAGGUGGUUGUGCAGCCAUGCUCGCUUCUGGGUCACCUGGAGGGAGGCCUCUGCCUGUUCGGUGGACCUGUGUGCAUGAGCAGAGCCUGCAGAGGUCCCUGCCUCCCCUGUGUGGAGAGGAUGGCAAGGAGGGAGGAGAGUGCGCCGGAGGAAGAGGAGCGCGAUGCCAGGUCCCAUGAGUGCUGUCUCUUGGGGGUCCUGACCUGUGCAGAGGGAAAUGACUGCCGGUUGAAGGAGUGAAGCUGAGCAGCGCCCACGGAGGGUGAAGCAGGAGGAACUCGAUGCCGCACGGCGUGUCGGUGCCGGAUUGGCAGUUCUGGCAAUUGGUUUCUGUUUUUCUCCAGCCCAGUCCUGGGUGUUGGGCAUUGACUAGGUAGGGUAGACGACUGGAGAUCGAUCUGGAUGUUUCUGACUGGGUCCUGGUCCUUGGAGAGAAGUUUGAGCAGAGAAGGGUGGAAGAUGGAGGCAGAGAGGAUGGUGCAAGCAGGGGGUCUUUUUACCAAGACUUUUGGGGCAGGGAGGAGAAGUGGAGAUUGGGCAGAAGAAGAGAAGACAUCUUGAAGUCAUGAACCAUGGAGCUGCCUGUCAUUGGUGCUUGUGCUGUAGCUCUGUCGUGAGGAGCAGGGCAGGGGCAGUGACAUGCUGAGGGCUGGAGAAGGAGCACCACAAAGAUGGCUGUGAGGCCUUGGUCAGGCGUGAAGUAUGUGAGCCAGGAGAGUCGUACAGCACACACGCAGGAUGGAGUCAUCUGGCUGAGGCUCGAGGCUCCUAAGUGGGCAUCGGGAAGAAGAGGUGGAGAUAUAGCGCCUGUGACCUGAGGAAGCUGGUGAAAGAAACGGAUGUCGGCGCAUUCGCUUUGCGGUUGCCCGGUGUGAGACUUCUGCCCGUGUGGUGGCCCUGGGCUGGAAGCCUUGCUGCGUGAAGCCUGCGAUAGAUGUUGGAUUGCUGCUCCCUGUGUGGUGAGAAGGAUUGGCUGCAAUGACUGGAGGCCUGGAAAAGGAGCCGUGUGGCCAGGGUCCUGGCCUGCAUGGAGGGAAGUAGGUGAGAGGACUGCAUCGUGGAAGAGCCGUGGGACAGUGUUGGAUGACAGACACGGACCGGCCGGAUGUUGCCCACUACGUUGGAAUGUCCCUUCUGUAUUGGGAUUCUGCGUGGGGGUGUGGGGUGGGUUUGGGCGUGUCCUCAGCUUUAUGAUCCUGGAGCCAGGGGUUUGCAAGUAGUAUGUUUGGGUCAGUUUGUCUGUGCUGUGGGUGGACCUAGGGUGACCAGAGGUGAAAUCCAUUCCUGUGACCCUGUAGUUGGACGAGCACCCAGACACUUGCAGGAACCGCUGGGCAAGCAGGCCCAGAGCUUUCAACUGUUGAGCACGGCAAUGCUGGAGCCAGCUAGCAUGGAAGCAGAAGGGCCGGCCGGGCGCGGGGCCCGGGCUGCCUCUGUGGCUUCUGUGCUAGUGAGGUUGAGAAUUGCAGUGCUGGGGGGUUGGAGGUUUUGGACCUGCUUGUGCAGGGUUCUUGUUGGUGUUGGGGUGCUGGUUCUGCUGGGUCAGAGCAAUGGGUUUUAUUCUGCCUGGCUGCCAUGUUUACCGUGUCCUACAGGGCUGGGAGCCUGUCGUAGCAGCGUGUGUUUGGCUGGGGCGGGGUGGUUGUCUGGUUUGGUCCCUGAGCAGUGUGGUGAGCAUGUUUGUUAUUACCCUGAAAUAAAAUAGUUUUCUGAUAGCCUACUGUUAGGCUAACAAUAAUUUAGAUUAUUAAGAAGUAUUAGCUUUGCAGUUGAAUACAAGGCAUGACCUGUGGCCUAGCAAUGCCGCUGACCACAAGGCAGAAUGAUAGCUAAGCCUUUGCUUAUGUUAAGUAAUCAUUUUAACUGUGUUGACUAUUUUCUGAGUAAAAUGCAGCAAGUGAAUCUGUCUGUGUGCUGUAAACCAGAUACAGCAAGGAACAAGGAGUCUCUCUAGUGUUUACACAGGUCAGCUGCUUUGGUUCAGCCGGUACCCCUGGACUGUAACCUUCACUCCUAUCAAUCAGGACGCUGAGUUUGGGUAAAACAACAUCGGCGAAAAACCGCCUCGGCCCAAGUCUGGGCAGGUCCGUACCAAGUUCUUCUUACUAUACACGCUGCUGUGAAAAUCGCCGAGAAAGAGGGCCGGAUUCAUCGCGGUCGCCUCAAACCUGGUAUCGGCAAGUAAUGACCGGUCAGCUGCUGUUCCGCCUUUAUGGCUAGAAAGAAUCGGAGAAUCGUGGACCGUUCAGACUCCUUAAUAGAAAUGAUACGUGUAUUAAGCUUGCUUUGUAUUAUCUUUCUUGUUAUACUUUGUGUUUGUAUUUCACUGUGGAUGCAGGGAAGGUUAUAAGUUAAUAAUGGCAUUUCACCGGGCUAUCCUAACAGGAUUAUUGCUCUUGAUGCAUAAAACACCAUGGCUAUUUAUGGGAAAGCGAUACAGAACAGGAAGACCAGUGGAAAGAUAAUACUUACCUGAUUUCCACUAUAGCUAUAGCACAGGCCCUAAAAUUUGUCUAAUGGUUGGAUAUGUGGUACACAGUCUCCUUCUAUUAACUUUCCACCCUAUCCUUUAAUCUCUUGGGAAGGGAUUUUUUCUAAUCCAGAGUGGGUUGAUACGGAUAGAGCUGGAAUAAGUACCUGGCAGGACAAUCCUUAUUUUAAAGAGAGAGUACUUUCAGACAUCAUGUUAUCUGCCCAGGUGUGUUGGGAAAAUCCUCAUGGAAUAGGAAAAGAGAUUUUUAGGAUGGCAACCAGGUUGUAAACUAACCAUUAAUGCCACACACUUAAUUUGGCCUAACAAUACUGCAGUGGGGACUAAAGAAGCUGAAAAGAAAGGUUACAUCCCCUGGAAUGCGUCUGCUCCCUGCAGUUCCUUGCAGCGUCCUUAUGUAAGGCAAUGUAUGGAAGGUUCCAUCCGAUGCUCCGCCCCUAAUAAAACUUGGGCUUGGAGUCACGGCUGUUUCACGUCUUGCAUAUACAGCUCCUUUGCAAAGCCAAGUUGUUCGUAUGUUAACUAUACCAUUUACAGAGACGGUUCAGUACCUUGCCCCAGAGAUCCUCAUACUACCGCAUCAAUCAACUGGCACAUGCAAUAGAACUUAUUGCGAAUAGCACAGCAGAGGGCAUUGAAUUAGUGCAAGACCAGGCUUCUUGCAACCAUGCUAUGACUUUAGAAAAUCGCUUCGCUUUAGACUAUUUGUUAGCUAGAGAAGGAGGGGUAUGUGCUUUAAUCACAGGAGGACCCUGCUGCCCCUAUAUUCCUGACCACUCUGACAACAUAACUGCUGCAGUAAAAACCAUUCGAGACACAGCACGACUUCUUUGCGAAGUUGGUCAGUAAUAGAACGGAUUGCCUCAACUUUAGGAAUGUGGGGAAGGUAUAUCUUAGAAUACAUUUUAUGGGGAUUAGGAAUCUUCUUGGUUAUUAUUGUAAUAAUUGCUGUAAUUACAGCCUGUGUAGUUUGAGUUAAGCAAAAAGUAAUUAAUCUCAAUAUUAUGCAAACCUGGGAAAUGGCCAGCAGGCCAUAGGCCUGUGGCUGUAAGGGGGGAUUGUUAGAAACUAUUGUUGGAAAAUCAGUGUGACCUUUGUAUCACCUUUGGGCAAUGCUAGCUGAUGCAACCUUGCAGUAAGAUUGCCAUGAUCUGUCAAUAUAGGCGGGCAAACAAGGUGAUUGGGCCCAACCAUGCGGGGUGAGCAAAGCCAAGCCAUCUUCUUGAUUUCCUCUGAGUUUUGCACAUGUGUUAUGAAGGAGCUUAUGUAACGAGAGUUUAUAAAGCUACAUGUUGAGUUGCAGUUGGGGUCUCUGUUCCCUUAUGCGGACAGGGGACCUUCGGCCCAAUAAACUGAAAAGACCACACCCUUGUCUGCUGCUUAUUGGAGUCUCAGCUGGGAAACGAGCCCUGUUUGGGUUAAGAGAGUCUGCAGGUGUUCCCUUACCAGCUUGGGAGUCUGGUCAGACAAUUUCUCUCACAAUUAAUUUGUAGCUUUUAGAAAGUGCUAGUUCAGCUUAAUAGAAAUAUGCUGUUAUGAAGAUUUGUAAAGCACAGCCCAAGUAUUGCUUUUGGUUAACCCUUGUAGCGCGCAAGUUUGUUAUUACCCUGAAAUAGAAUAGUUUUCUGAUAGCAUACUGUUAGGUUAACAAUAAUUUGGAUUAUUAAGAAGUAUUAGCUUUACAGCUGAAUACAAGGCAUGCCCUGUGGCCUAGCAAUGCAGCUGACCACAAGGCAGAAUGAUAGCUAGGCCUUUGCUUAUGUCAAGUAAUCAUUUUAACUACACCAAGCAUUUUCUGAGUUAAAAAGUGAAUCUGUGUCUGUGUGCUAAAAAAAAUCAGCUACAGCAAAAAGUAAGAUAAAACAGAGAAACCAUUGUUUGAGCUUACUGGUUGUGUCCUUGAAAAAUAUCUUCUACUGUAUAAGGUUUUGCUAACAUAAUGUUACUGUUACUUAACUUUUAGCUUUAAAAAGUGCUAGUUCAGCUUAAUAAAAAUAUGCUGUUACAAAGAUUUAUAGAACACCGCCCCAAGUAUUGCUUUUUGUUAAACAUAUAGUUUUGCUUUGUUGUAAAAAAUAUAAAAGAUCGCCUCACCCUUGAGGGGGGGCCUUUUUGCCUUUUGCUGGCUUUAUGGUCUUUGCUCGAGCAAAUAAACAGCUGUCUUUCUUUACCCGCGUUGUCUGUCAAUCAAAUUACAGCUAGACAACGGACCUUAGGGAGAUUUCUCCCACCACACCCUGUAGUCUUGCCUUAUUGUAAAAAGUCUAAAAGAACACCCCACCCUUGAGUGGGGGGCAUUUUGGCUUUUUGCUGGCUUAUGGUCAUUGCUCGAGCAAAUAAACGGCAGUAAAUCUUUACCUGCGUUGCUUGGUUUCUAUUGCAGCUAGACAACAAACUCCUCCUGGGAGUUUUCUCCCACCACAGCAGGAAGGAGGAUGUUGAAGGUUUCUGAGCCAUAAGCUCGAGCCCUCUCUUUGGAAGGGGUGUUAGAAAAUAUUGUUAGAAAAUUAAUGUGACCUCUGUAUGACCUUGGAUCAAUGCUGGCUGAUGCAACCUUGCACUAAGAUUGCUGGUGAUAUGUCAAUCUUGGCGGACAAGCAAGGUGAUUGGGCCCAACCAUGCGGGGUGAGCAAAGUCAUGCCAUUUUAGCAAUUUUUUGCUGGGUUUUGCACAUGUGUUAUGGGAAAGGCUUAUGUAACAAAAGUUCAUAAAUAUGUGUUGAGUUGGAGUCGGGGUCUCUCUGCCCUUACGAGGACAGGGGACCUUCAGUCAAAUAAACUGAAAAGACCACACCCUCGUCUCCUGCUUAUUGGAGUCUCAGCUGGUCUAGGAGCCCCCUUAGGGUUAAGAGAGUCUGCAGGUGUUCCCUUACGAGAUUGGGAGCCUGGCCAGACAAUUUCUCUGAUGGGGAAAGCAGAGCCGUCUGUUACUCAGCUUUGUUUUGUUGUUGCCCAUAGUGGAGGUAUUGCAAAAAUGUAUCAUCUCACUACACCAAAGGCUUCUCAGCUGAAAACUGUAAACUGCAAAUUGUUUCUUCUUCUCUCUCCCACAUCACUGCGGGGCCAGGAGGCGGGGGGUUGUGUUAGGGGGAGAGAACAGUCUGAACAAUGCUUGCUUCACGAUAAGGCUGACUCCUGUGGGAACACAGAUUAGUUACUGCCUGCUUUGCACAUAAACUUUGCAGAAAACUGUAGCAAAUGACAGAUUGGCACAAUGGAAUCUUGUUCAGGAGAGGUAUAAAAAUGUAUCGUUGGGCAUGGCUAGGGGUCAACAUGACUGAGCUUUGAGCUCCGUUGUCGAUCUGUUUGCAAGCAAACAUACUUGUAAUGGAUCCAGGCUAAGUGUGUAUAACUCUCUCUUGAGGUAUAUGGAAAAAGCCUCCAGAAACACGAAACUAGCCGUUUGUGCAACAGAGGCACAACUGGGAAGCACCCCCCUCCCCGUCAGCUUAACCACCCUCUCGUGCGUCCAAGGCCCCUGCCUUGCAGUGCCUCUUGGGCCUGUGUGGUGUUGCUGGUCGUUGUGGGUUUUUUUUGGGGGGGGGGGAGUGUGAGGAGGGUGCAGCCAAGGUGAUGGCUCCUGUGGAGAAGGGGGUAGAAGCAGAAGUAGUUAUGAAGAGCCUGGGUGCUGGGCUGAUGUGGGAGAAAACUCCCUGGUGUUCGUUGUGUAGCUGGCUUAGAGACCAGACAACAGGGGUGAAGGGGUAACUGCAGUUUAUCUACUCGAGUACAGACCAUAAAACAGCAAAGAGGUAAAAUGGCCUUGACUUAAGGGUGAGGCUGUCUUAUAUACAUUUUCUAAGAAAGGAACUACAAGGUUAUUGAAUAUGCAAUACUUAUGGUAAUCAUCUCCUUACAUGGUGCAUUACAAAUCUCAGCACUUUUGCAGAGGAAAAAAGUUAGUGUUAUCUUACACAUUGCAAUCUGUUAUCCUGUACUCCGCUGUACCAUCUUCUUCCCUCUGGGCCCCCCCCCCCCGCCUUAUCUUAUCUGACUUCUAGCUGCAGCUGGUACCCAGUACACAGACUUAAUUUCUGCUUUUUUCUAACAAAAUGGUUAGGGCACUUGACAUAAGAAAAUAGUUGGCUUAGAGAUCAUUCUGUCUUGUGGUCAGGAAAACUGCUAGGCCACAGGUCAUGCCUAGUGUUUAGCUACGAAGCUAAUACUAUGUAAUAAUCUAAAUUACCCUGAAAUUAAAUAGUUUUCUAUAGUAUACUGUUCACAAGAAAGACAAACUUGCCCAUCACUCUGACUGUGAGGUGGAAGAGGUGCCAGGAGGAUGUGUGGGGUCUGAGUUGUGCCUUGGUGUGUGCUUAGUUGGGUGAGAGGGGUGCGAAGCUGCCUGGGUGUGGUGGGAUCGUGCUCUGCUCCCUUGCUUGUUUGCUUUGUUUGGUGAUGUUUGUGUGUGUCCUUGUGUUGUUUGUUGUGAGGCUGGCAAUGUUUUCUUCCUGGUGGUUUGUUUUGUACAUGGCUGUUUGCUCACCUCCUGUCUACUGACCUUUUUGUAUGUAACAUGUAGAGGAACUUGUGGGCCAGCCUGGAAAAAUAAAAUAAAGGAGAAAUGGUUUUGGCA
Alligator mississippiensis (American alligator) is the source of this 12633-nucleotide long non-coding RNA. RefSeq lists it as uncharacterized. The transcript is spliced from 22 exons. The record is from RefSeq and is a predicted model, not a curated record. Lineage: Eukaryota; Metazoa; Chordata; Crocodylia; Alligatoridae.